CACCAGCGCCACGAGUGGCAAUCGUAUAUUGGGCCUAAAGCGUCCGUAGUUGGUUUGGCAAAUCUUUCGUGAAAUUGGAGAGCUUAACUCUUCAGCGUGCGGGAGACACUACCUUACUUGGAACCGGGAGGAGUCAGAGGUAUUCUGGGGGGAGCGGUAAAAUGUGAUAAUCCCUGGAGGACCACCUGUGGCGAAGGCGUCUGACUAGAACGGAUUCGACAAUGAGGGACGAAGGCUAGGGGAGCAAACCGG
RNAcentral lists this ribosomal RNA (252 nucleotides) under uncultured bacterium. Its description in RNAcentral is "partial 16S ribosomal RNA". It matches the Rfam family "Archaeal small subunit ribosomal RNA", at positions 474 to 727 of the family's 1478-position model. The record is from RNAcentral.